Molecule: ribosomal RNA, 758 nt
Filed under: uncultured bacterium
Lineage: Bacteria
Description: bacterial SSU rRNA
Rfam family: Bacterial small subunit ribosomal RNA
Source: RNAcentral
AGAGUUUGAUCAUGGCUCAGAUUGAACGCUGGCGGAAUGCUUUACACAUGCAAGUCGAACGGCAGCACGGACUUCGGUCUGGUGGCGAGUGGCGAACGGGUGAGUAACAUAUCGGAACGUAUCCAAUAAUGGGGGAUAACUAAUCGAAAGGUUGGCUAAUACCGCAUACGCCCUACGGGGGAAAGCUAGGGACCUUCGGGCCUGGCGUUAAUGGAGCGGCCGAUAUCUGAUUAGCUAGUUGGUGGGGUAAAGGCCCACCAAGGCGACGAUCAGUAGCUGGUCUGAGAGGACGACCAGCCACACUGGAACUGAGACACGGUCCAGACUCCUACGGGAGGCAGGAGUGGGGAAUUUUGGACAAUGGGCGCAAGCCUGAUCCAGCCAUUCCGCGUGAGUGAAGAAGGCCUUCGGGUUGUAAAGCUCUUUCGCAAGGGAAGAAAACUUAUCCUCUAACAUAGGAUGAGGUUGACGGUACCUUGAUAAGAAGCACCGGCUAACUACGUGCCAGCAGCCGCGGUAAUACGUAGGGUGCGAGCGUUAAUCGGAAUUACUGGGCGUAAAGCGUGCGCAGGCGGUUUUGUAAGUCAGAUGUGAAAUCCCCGAGCUCAACUUGGGAACUGCGUUUGAAACUACAAGACUAGAAUAUGUCAGAGGGGGGUAGAAUUCCACGUGUAGCAGUGAAAUGCGUAGAGAUGUGGAGGAAUACCAAUGGCGAAGGCAGCCCCCUGGGAUAAUAUUGACGCUUCAUGCACGAAAGC